RNAcentral lists this non-coding RNA (292 nucleotides) under Phascolarctos cinereus (koala). Lineage: Eukaryota; Metazoa; Chordata; Mammalia; Diprotodontia; Phascolarctidae. The record is from RNAcentral.
UUCUGUGGUGCAUGAAUGAAAUCCCAAUUGCCAGAGGAGACUGAGGCUGGCAGAUCACUUGGGUUCAGGAGUUCUGAACUGUGGUGGGUUAGACCCAACCGGGUAUCUGCACUAGGUCUGGGAACCAGUGUGGUAAGACCCAGGGAGCAAGGAGUCACCAAGCUACCUAAGGAGGAGUGAACUUUCCCAAAUGGGAAAAGGAGUAGGUCAAAGCUCCCAUGUUAAUCAGAAGGGGGAUCAGGCCCCUGAGUGGCAGCUACACUUCCAGCCUGGGCAAGACAAUAGACCCAAU